Molecule: ribosomal RNA, 432 nt
Filed under: uncultured bacterium
Lineage: Bacteria
Description: partial 16S ribosomal RNA
Rfam family: Bacterial small subunit ribosomal RNA
Source: RNAcentral
AACGAACGCUGGCGGCAUGCCUAACACAUGCAAGUCGAACGAGACCUUCGGGUCUAGUGGCGCACGGGUGCGUAACGCGUGGGAACCUGCCCUUAGGUUCGGAAUAACUCCCCGAAAGGGGUGCUAAUACCGGAUAAUGUCUUCGGACCAAAGAUUUAUCGCCUUUGGAUGGGCCCGCGUUGGAUUAGCUAGUUGGUAGGGUAAAAGCCUACCAAGGCGACGAUCCAUAGCUGGUCUGAGAGGAUGAUCAGCCACACUGGGACUGAGACACGGCCCAGACCCCUCGGGGAGGAGGGAGGGGGGAAAAUGGGGAAGGGGGGGAAAGCCUGAUCCAGAAAGGCCGGGGGGGUGAGAAAGGCCUUGGGGUUGAAAAGCUUUUUUACCCGGGAUGAAAAUAACAGGACCGGGAAAAAAAGCCCCGGCUAACCCCGU